This 473-nucleotide small RNA is filed under the name Pongo abelii (Sumatran orangutan). RNAcentral describes it as "retained intron". The record is from RNAcentral. Lineage: Eukaryota; Metazoa; Chordata; Mammalia; Primates; Hominidae.
AGGCGGCCAUGGCGGCAGGCGCCGGGGCCAGGUCCGCGCCGCGCUGGCUGAGGGCGCUGAGCGAGCCGCUGAGCGCGGCGCAGCUGCGGCGACUGGAGGAGCACCGCUACAGCGCGGCGGGCGUCUCGCUGCUCGAGCCGCCGCUGCAGCUCUACUGGACCUGGCUGCUCCAGUGGAUCCCGCUCUGGAUGGCCCCCAACUCCAUCACCCUGCUGGGGCUCGCCGUCAACGUGGUCACCACGCUCGUGCUCAUCUCCUACUGUCCCACGGCCACCGAGGAGGCACCAUACUGGACAUACCUUUUAUGUGCACUGGGACUUUUUAUUUACCAAUCACUGGAUGCCAUUGAUGGGAAACAAGCCAGAAGAACAAACUCUUGUUCUCCUUUAGGGGAGCUCUUUGACCAUGGUUGUGACUCUCUUUCCACAGGUAAAUUAGUGGAGUUUUUUUUUUAAUGAUACCUUAAAAAUAAA